RNAcentral lists this non-coding RNA (151 nucleotides) under human gut metagenome. The record is from RNAcentral.
CUGCCCGGGGAUUAAAAGGGAACCGGGUGUGAAUCCCGGACAGUCCAGCUGCUGUGUAACUCCGUAAGGACCUGAACUUCUUUGCCACUGAUUCCAGGAAUUGGGAAGGCACGGGUCUUGGAGCAAGUCAGAAGACCUGCCGUUCAUUAAA